RNAcentral lists this ribosomal RNA (229 nucleotides) under uncultured bacterium. Its description in RNAcentral is "partial 16S ribosomal RNA". It matches the Rfam family "Bacterial small subunit ribosomal RNA", at positions 568 to 796 of the family's 1533-position model. The record is from RNAcentral.
UCCGUAGGCGGGCUAAUAAGUCAGGGGUGUAAUCCCACAGCUUAACUGUGGAACUGCCUUUGAUACUGUUAGUCUUGAGUUAUAUGGAAGUAGAUAGAAUGUGUAGUGUAGCGGUGAAAUGCAUAGAUAUUACACAGAAUACCGAUUGCGAAGGCAGUCUACUACGUAUAUACUGACGCUAAUGGACGAAAGCGUGGGGAGCGAACAGGAUUAGAUACCCUGGUAGUCC